AGUGAACGCUGGCGGCGUGCCUAAUACAUGCAAGUCGAACGGACAAGUAAGAGCUUGCUCUUAUGAGUUAGUGGCGCACGGGUGAGUAAUGUAUAGCUAAUCUGCCCUACACUAGAGGACAACAGUUGGAAACGACUGCUAAUACUCUAUACUCCUCUCUAGCAUAAGUUAGAUAGGGAAAGUUUUUCGGUGUAGGAUGAGGCUAUAUUGUAUCAGCUAGUUGGUGAGGUAAUGGCUCACCAAGGCUAUGACGCAUAACUGGUCUGAGAGGAUGAUCAGUCACACUGGAACUGAGACACGGUCCAGACUCCUACGGGAGGCAGCAGUAGGGAAUAUUGCUCAAUGGGGGAAACCCUGAAGCAGCAACGCCGCGUGGAGGAUGACACUUUUCGGAGCGUAAACUCCUUUUGUUAGGGAAGAACAAUGACGGUACCUAACGAAUAAGCACCGGCU
RNAcentral lists this ribosomal RNA (453 nucleotides) under Campylobacter concisus. RNAcentral's name for it is "bacterial SSU rRNA". It matches the Rfam family "Bacterial small subunit ribosomal RNA", at positions 29 to 498 of the family's 1533-position model. Lineage: Bacteria; Pseudomonadati; Campylobacterota; Epsilonproteobacteria; Campylobacterales; Campylobacteraceae. The record is from RNAcentral.